CGUGUAGGCGGCCAGGUAGGUCCGUUGUGAAAACUCGAGGCUCAACCUCGAGACGUCGAUGGAAACCAUCUGGCUAGAGUCCGGAAGAGGAGAGUGGAAUUCCUGGUGUAGCGGUGAAAUGCGCAGAUAUCAGGAAGAACACCUAUGGCGAAGGCAGCUCUCUGGGACGGUACUGACGCUGAGCGCGAAAGCGUGGGAGCGAACA
This 205-nucleotide ribosomal RNA is filed under the name uncultured bacterium. Its description in RNAcentral is "partial 16S ribosomal RNA". It matches the Rfam family "Bacterial small subunit ribosomal RNA", at positions 568 to 774 of the family's 1533-position model. The record is from RNAcentral.